GACGAACGCUGGCGGCGUGCCUAAUACAUGCAAGUAGGACGCAGUUGCGAACGGGGGAGUAACGCGUAGGUAACUGCCUCUUAGAGGGGUAUAACUAUUGGAAACGAUAGCUAAUACCGCAUACUUGUAGAUGGACUUGCGUUGUAUUAGCUAGUAGGUAGGGUAAUGGCCUACCUAGGCGACGAUACAUAGCCGACCUGAGAGGGUGAUCGGGCAAACUGGGACUGAGACACGGGCCAGACUCCUACGGGAGGCAGCAGUAGGGAAUCAUCGGCAAUGGGGGGAAACCUGACCGAGCAACGCCGCGGGAGUGAAGAAGGUUUUCGGAUCGUAAAGCUCUGUUGUUAAGGAAGCGGUACUUAACCAGAAAGGGACGGCUAACUACGUGCCAGCCGCCGCGGUAAUAC
This 407-nucleotide ribosomal RNA is filed under the name uncultured bacterium. Its description in RNAcentral is "partial 16S ribosomal RNA". It matches the Rfam family "Bacterial small subunit ribosomal RNA", at positions 28 to 526 of the family's 1533-position model. The record is from RNAcentral.